Molecule: long non-coding RNA, 464 nt
Filed under: Amborella trichopoda
Lineage: Eukaryota; Viridiplantae; Streptophyta; Magnoliopsida; Amborellales; Amborellaceae
Description: long non-coding RNA (ATRI_LNC005119)
Source: RNAcentral
CAAGUGGGCUCUCCUGUUGUGAGGAUUCAUAAAGGCUUUCCAUGUGAGGAUGUCUAUUCUCAACAAGGUUCUUUGACAAACUUGGGUUUUUGAGCAAGAGCACAAAAUCAAAGAUGGGAAUCCGCCUUCAAGUUUAGAGCUCUACUUUUGGUGGUUCUCUCUGUCAGUUUUUGAGCAAGAGCACAAAUCAAAGAUGGGAAUCCGCCUUCAAGUUUAGAGCUCUCCUUUUAGUGCUUCUCUCCGUCUCUCUCUCUCUCCAAUCUGUGUGCAGAUCCAUCCUCACCAUUGAUAAUUGAGGAUCAGAAUGAGGCUUUCCAAUUGUUAUUAGUUCUUUUAUGGUAUUCUUCUCCAAUAAAUUGUUCCUUGGAAAGUUUGUGAUUGCACGAAAUUCGGGGAUAUAACCUCAUCAACCAAGUAAACGACUUCCAAAGAGAAACAAAGGAUUUGAAGCACACCUGUGAGUG